Molecule: non-coding RNA, 46 nt
Organism: Pteropus alecto (black flying fox)
Lineage: Eukaryota; Metazoa; Chordata; Mammalia; Chiroptera; Pteropodidae
Source: Rfam
CCAAAGGCUCUUUUCAGAGCCACCCACGUUUUCUGGGGAGAGCUGU